Molecule: ribosomal RNA, 492 nt
Filed under: uncultured bacterium
Lineage: Bacteria
Description: partial 16S ribosomal RNA
Rfam family: Bacterial small subunit ribosomal RNA
Source: RNAcentral
AGUGAACGCUGGCGGUAGGCCUAACACAUGCCAGUCGAACGGCAGCACAGUAAGAGCUUGCUCUUACGGGUGGCGAGUGGCGGACGGGUGAGGAAUACAUCGGAAUCUACUUUUUCGUGGGGGAUAACGUAGGGAAACUUACGCUAAUACCGCAUACGACCUACGGGUGAAAGCAGGGGAUCUUCGGACCUUGCGCGAUUGAAUGAGCCGAUGUCGGAUUAGCUAGUUGGCGGGGUAAAGGCCCACCAAGGCGACGAUCCGUAGCUGGUCUGAGAGGAUGAUCGGCCACACGGGAACUGGGACACGGUCCAGACGCCUACGGGAGGCAGCAGUGGGGAAUAUUGGACAAUGGGCGCAAGCCUGAUCCAGCCAUACCGCGUGGGUGAAGAAGGCCUUCGGGUUGUAAAGCCCUUUUGUUGGGAAAGAAAAGCAGCAGGUUAAUACCCCGCUGUUCUGACGGUACCCAAAGAAUAAGCACCGGCUAACUUCGUG